RNAcentral lists this long non-coding RNA (4473 nucleotides) under Mus musculus (house mouse). RNAcentral's name for it is "long non-coding RNA chr6:33793247-33797720". Lineage: Eukaryota; Metazoa; Chordata; Mammalia; Rodentia; Muridae. The record is from RNAcentral.
GCCUUAACCAGGAGCAAGGGGCAACUACCUCAUCAGAAAAUCAGUGCCAAAGCUUCCAUCCUAACUGGCUCCAAGAAAUGUCCUCAUGUGAACUGCCACUAAGCACCCAGCUUCCUGGUCCACAGGAUGAAGCAAUGGUAACGCUGUGAAGGCAGACGCUGGGUACUCAUGGCUGGGCAGAGCUGUCCAGCGGAAAGCGUAGUGUCUGUUGCUCAUAUUCCUACCCCUUCCAGUUGGUCUUUAGCCCCCUAAGUAUUUGUCUUACAUUCUCUUCAACUAUGCUCACUUGUUAAAGGCAUAUACACAAAGAGGAGUGGAGGGGGCUAAUCCUGUAUUUCACAUGCUCUAAAACUAAACAGAGCGUGAGAGGAGAGUUUACAUCACAUCUGACAUUCUUACUGAUCAUUGCUGAUAAAAACUGGCAGAAAGAAAGGUAAUCGGAGCCUCGGGAAUUCAAUUCCCUCCUUUAAUCCACUCAGCAGAUAUUUUAUUUUUAAAACACAAGUGCAGCCAUCAGCAAAAUUGAGAGGCUGUAUGGGACCCUGAGGCACUUUUAAACUUUGGAGCUCUCUAAACUCCCACCCCAUCCCUACCUUCAAAUGGUCCCUCACAGCCAUUUCUUCUGCUUAGGUGUUACCCACCCCCUAGCCCCCCACACCCCCACUAUUUCUUUCCUUUACUCCCUAGAAACCAAUUAAAAGAAGAAGAAGAAUUUGCCUUUUGGCAUUAAUUAAAGAAAGAAGAAGCCUUUCUGAUCUAGACCCUCAGCUAGAGAUUUGUGCAGUCCAUUACCCUGCUACUUAGGCUUCUCAGAUCCACACCAUGUCUUUCUUGUGUUCGGAAGUAGUAGCACAGGGCUGUCUGAUUUUCAGAUAGUUCAGGCUUCUUCUGUCAUUAAGGCAUUGCCAGAUAGUUCCUACCAGCAGAGAAGAGCAGGCAGUUCCUGUGCGUGGCCUCCUCUCUAUCCUAGGCAUUUGGCACAGAACAUUGUCUGCCUGACAGUGCUCCGUCAAGCCUUCUGAACGACCAGCCUUCCUGGAAUAGCCCAGUAGUUUCAACCAGAAAAUGAACUUAGUUCCACUUGCAAAUUUCUGCUGUUCUGCACUGCAGCAAGAUACCCUAGAAGAUUUCUUCUCAUAAGAUUUAAAAGUAAAAUCUACAGGCAUGACCACCACAUGUGUUCCACUUACAGGUCGGGUGAGAUCGAUGCUUCACUUCCAAUCUCAAGCUUGUUGCGCAACUCUAUCUGGAGAUGUGACUGUCAUCCGAGGAGUCAUACUGCACUCGUUCACCUAUCCCUGCAUGCCCAAGCUUUGGGUACGAGCAGUGUCAGCAUAUUAGUGGAUGACAAACAAGCCUGAAAAGCAUAGUGUACCCUUUUCUCUGGGAUGGGGGUCAAAGCAUUAUUGAUAAGGGAAUAGGCAUUCAGUCAGCCCCUGUGUUCCAUCUGCUGCUCAAAGUAGUUAGCUCUACUUUGAAGUCAAAAACAAAAAGAUUAUGACCAAACUGUAAUCAUUGUUCGUGGCUAUUAUAUCUACCUAUGUAGACUGAAAUGGAGACUGUUGGUUUAAAUCUGGUUCCUAAUAGCAAGCUACUGGCACUGUCCCUUUUAACCAUAUAAACAGGUCUUUUCCUUCAGCUCUGAGCCUGGGCUUGCUUACCUACAAUCUUAAGGUCUUUAUCUCAAGAACUCUGAGAAAGAUUGAGUAAGGUAAAAUCCUACCUGCAUAUUAGCUUUAAGAAACUAACUCAGGUAGUUGAAGAAGCUUGGGCUUUUAAAUUAGAUGUGGGACCAGUUUCCUAGAACUGCGAACUGCCCCUGUAUAUGUGACCUUUCACAGGAAGCUCAAUUCCCUUGAACCUUAAUUUCCAUAUCUUUAAGAUGGAAAAAUACUACCCUGACCCUUAGAGCACCAGCAUGGGGAUUAGUGUGUAGAUGAAAGAUAUGUGUAUACAUAUACAUUUAUAUUUUACAUAUAUGUGUGUGUAUAAGUUUGUUUACAUAUAUAUUUAAAUUAUUGGUGUGAUCAGAAAAAGUGUAUGCAUGCUGUUUUAACAAGUUCCAAGGGAGUAUUACACUGGUACAACACAUAGGGCACACUAAGUUCUGGUGUAUUUACUGACAGUGUGAUAUCACCUCUUUUGUAAUUGAAUUGUUACUUCACAGUUACUCUAAAUUCCAUGACUGUAGGGAGACUGUUUCUCACCUCAUAAGCAGCUUCUAGUAACAUACUACAUGUGUCUAGGCCCUCAGGAAGUCUGUGCAAUUAAUGAUUGCCUUUUUUCAUCUGUCAUUAUUUUUUUCCCUCUGAUAACUUCAUGGAUAUCAUUUACGUUUGUAAAAAUGACUACAAAUUAGAAGACAAUGGUCAAUUCAGAAAAUCCUCAAAGCUGCUCCCAUUCUGCACCUUUGGGCUUCAAAUGGCUCUGAGGAGGGCACCUGAAUGCAUUUUAUAAUCCAACAUGUGUGGAGCUCCUUGAGGGUAUGGAGAGGUCCUGGGAAACGCUGAUUCCUGGACAAUGCUCAGUCUGUAGUAACAACCCGUUUCCAGAUACUUUCACUCUCUCUAUCCAAACUCAUAUAUUAAGUCAUCUCCAAAUUGGUAAAAACAAUGUCUUAGGGACCUUUUGUGCUUCAUCUAUUUUGAACAUGAAGUAACAUCUUCUAGCUUGUUCUCCAAUCCUAGGAUUCAUUUCAAUCAUGAAACCCUACUACUCCAAGAGAUCUUUGUUGCCAUCCCUGACAGCCUCUGGGUACUUGAUUCUCCUUUGUCCGAAUUUUGCAGAACUCCACCGUGGGGUAACUUUUUUCCCCACUUAAGAUAUGGGGGACCUUUGGGAUAGCAUUGAAAAUGUAAACGAGGAAAAUACCUAAUAAAAAAUUUUAAAAAAAGAUUCUUUUUAUAACUGAGUUAAAUCACAAGCUAUUACUUGUGAGUCAUGUUUUUUUCCCUGUGUAGCCACAAAAGGCAACUGACACCACAGCUCCUGCUACCCUUGAAGCACAUGUCCCAGAGGUCGUGUGCCAGAGUGUCUGUCUUCAGCUCCACCUGGCUCCUGAUGAGCUUUUGUUUUACAUGAGGCUGUGGAGUCAGGGGCUUUGCUCCCUCUUUUCCUACCAUCUCACCCAGAGAGCUUUUCUCAAUAUGACAGCCAAAUAAAGAUGAAUUAUCUCCUUGCAAAGUUAAUUUCUGUUUCUCAGCAGGGAGCCACUGGCCCCACUGGGCUUGAAAGUGCUGCUGUUUGGUUAAUGGAUGAGCCUCUCUUGGAUGCUGGUACCCACACUGGAACUGCUGCAGUGCCUGACUUUCCAUUUGUUUUAAUUUCCUACUUGCAGCUGGUGUUAGGAGACCUAAAUGGGUUUAUUCACAGGAUAGUGGUUUGGAGUCAUUAGCCCAGGAAUGAAGGCGAGGGCUGGUGAGCUUCUUUCAGGCCAUCCUUGACCACUUGGGAAAGUUUAAGUAGUUAAGUUGGUUGGCUUUUUAAGAAAGUGAAAUCGCAAACUCCUAGGACAAAUGACCUAAUGGAGUAGGCUCGUCUCGUCUCUGACUUUCAGGAGUUGGAAAAUAAUGACAUUUUUUAUGUCUUAAAUAUAUGAGUGUGACAAAAUAAAAUAAGAUGGUGGAUAAAGAAUAAUCUGGAAUUUUUAAGUACAAUUAGUGAUCAAUAUCAGGAAGCUAUAAAAUACAGAACUAUACAGCAAAUAGUUGUUUAAUGUUCUAGCAGAGCCAGAAUGCAAACUGGAAAAGUCCUUAUGAUGAAUCUGGAAUUUCUCUGUUAGAUUAUGACAUUGCCAUUUGUCCUUUGAGAAGGUCAAAAUCUGGCCAUCGUUCCUGUAUUCAGAUACAAUGCUGAUUGGUGGGGGGUGGGGGUAAAGUUGUGAAGCAACAGAACACUAUUGGUAUGGUUUGUCUUCUGAAACAUUUAAAGCUUAUAGGAGAAGAAGACCAUGUGUCCUUGAGAGGAUCCCAACUCUACGCUGUGGACUGUGUAUCAGAAAUAAUGCCCAGAGUUGCUAUGCUCAUGGAACAUUUGGCUGCAUAGACUGGUUAAUGUUGGACAGCUCACUGUCUCAUUCUAAGCUUCAUUUCCACAGCAUCUCUACACUCAAUACAGUCACGCCAACAGUGUGCGAGAGCUCCAGACUACAAGUUCCAAGAAAGGGAAAGAGCCAGGACUCCCCAGUCCUACAAAGUACUAUUUCACAAUGGAAGACUGACUCUGGUGACUCUGCGAUGAGUUCAUUUUGCAGUUUGUGAGAGGGAAGAAGGAGGUGUGCAGAUGGCUAUAUUUGGGCAGAUAUGGUAGGCAUAUAUCUCAGUGCCCACUGUUUUGGCUUUCAUACCAAAGGUAUAACAUCACAGAGGUAUUGGUGACUGGUGAAAAUUAACUAGGUAAAAAGUCAGUGUGGAGAGCCAAGGCAUGGAAGUACUAAGUAGAUGUGGCUGCUUUUCUCCUGACUCCCAGUUUUCU